Molecule: long non-coding RNA, 1885 nt
Filed under: Androctonus crassicauda
Lineage: Eukaryota; Metazoa; Arthropoda; Arachnida; Scorpiones; Buthidae
Source: RNAcentral
GUUCCAGUUUUUGUUUUGUGGAUCAUUCAGGAUAAUUAACUUCCCUGCUAUCCCGGGUAAUCGAGUGUAUAUUGUAACUAACUACGAUAGUUAGUUAUGAUAUAGAGCAGCUGUUCUCAACCUGUACCACUGGUGGUACGUACACUACCUGUGGUAUAUAUAUAAUCUUGACUUCCCAUUCGUAUAAGAAACAUAUUUUUUAUUGGUGGUACUGAAAUUUUUCAAUUUUGAAUUUUGGUGGUACGCUGUAUGAAAAGGCUGAGAACAGCUGCAAUAGAACAUUUGAAUAUAUAUAUAUGCAUGCAUGCAAUUUAUUUAUUUAUUUUUUCUGUAUUAAAUGUGCACAUCUUCCACAAUUUCAAUUUUUGACUGUUUUGUGGGAUCAUCCGAGAUAAUUAACUUCCCUACUAUCCCGGGCAAUCGAAUGUAUGUUGUAACUGACUUCGAUAGUUAGUUAUGAUACUGGAUCAACCAUCUAAAUAUAUAAAUAGAUUGUUCAAUGCUAGCAACGAUUGAAACUAUCCCGCUACAUUGGUUUACCCUUUCAGCAACUUAAAAAAUCGACGAUAUAUCAAAUUGAUUUUGUUUUGGUGACCACACGUAUCCCAUUUAUGUUAGUAAACACGAUCGAUCAGAUUUAAAUAAUUAAUAAAAACGGUGUAGUACCCUAAUUUACACUAUUAUACCACGUAACCUCAUCAUUUCAGUGGCUAGUAUUGAGCAGUCUAUGUAUGUAUUUAGAUCGUUGCAUUGGAUGUAGAGGAAGAAGUAUGUUCACUGUAGAUAAAUUAAUGUUAAGGCACGAAAUUGGGCAAGACCACAUCAUAACCGAGGAAACUAACAAUGAAUUUAGGAUUACAACCAGACUAAGUGACAAAAGCUUCGUCCAAAUUGCGUAGAGUCGCUAUUCAAGUAAUGGCAAUAAUAGGUUAAUCCCAACUGUAUUUCCUGGUUUUUCAAUUGUAAUAUAAAAUCUAUUAUUAUGAAUGCCUCAAUUUGCAUAACUUUUUGAAACCUGCAUUGGACGCAUAUCUGCUGCUGCUGCUGCUGCUGCUGCAAUCGAUGACGUAUCCGGCAUUCUGGACCGUUAUCUAUAUAGAGGAGGGUGUGAGGGAUCCGCCUCUAGACAUUUUUGUUUAAAAUGAUCUCACAAUCUGUUCCUUCAUUAUGAUGGUUUACUCUCGGGACAUUCUAUAUUUCGAAUAUUCGUUCUAGCGCUAUAUCAUACGAUGGAGCUAUGAUAGCGAAGAAACAGACUUAGCAUAAAAUUGUCUUUUUUUAUUUGCUUCUUUUCGGAGAUGAAAAUGAAUUGAAAAAUAAAUUCUAACUAGAAAAUAAAAGAGACAAACAAUCAAUCGUAAUUCUCGCCGUACUUUUCGAACCAGUUUAAAAGGUUUGCUCAUUAUUUAUGUAUCAUCAUAAAAGAAUAUAGGUCUUUCACCACAGUUUAUGAAUUAUUUAACUUGUAAAGGACUGCGGGUCUGUAGAAUUACGUGAGCUAACUACCGAUGGCUGCAUCACUUCAUUUUCGAAAAAAAAAUAAAAAUAAAAAUAAUUGAAAAGUGAUUAAAAAGCAAAUAUAGACCGAAUGAUAUUGAUAAAUAUUGACAGCAGUGGUUCGGAUAAAUGGGACAGAAACGUACGAACCACGCUGCUGCUGCUGCAGAUGAAGAAACGGAGAAAAGGAUCCUCCCAUAAACCAUCACGAUCUGAAAACGCAAUAAUUGUUUCCAUGGCAACGAGUAAAGGUAAUAGUCGGUUCCUUAUUUUCAAGAUAAUUUUAGUCCAAUUUACGGGCGAGCUUUUCGGCGCCCGAUUGAGAAAGGACCUUUUUCUAGUAGCAUCUUCGCUUUUUUUUUUUUUUUUUUUUUUAUAUGUUUUAAAA